CAACCCGUACCGCGACCGCAAGUUGGGAUUAGUCCGGACUAGACUAAUAAGAGGAUACACGAGAGUUUUAAGA
This 73-nucleotide small RNA is filed under the name Arabidopsis thaliana (thale cress). Its description in RNAcentral is "ATSL031490". Lineage: Eukaryota; Viridiplantae; Streptophyta; Magnoliopsida; Brassicales; Brassicaceae. The record is from RNAcentral.